RNAcentral lists this unclassified non-coding RNA (201 nucleotides) under Hevea brasiliensis (rubber tree). Lineage: Eukaryota; Viridiplantae; Streptophyta; Magnoliopsida; Malpighiales; Euphorbiaceae. The record is from RNAcentral.
UUAAUGAUUGAUAGUGAAUUCUACUAUUUUUUGCUGCAAGAUCUAUUGCAAUCGGCUUUGGUGUUUGGCGCUUUCUUGGGAGGGAAGAAGCUCUCUUCCUUCUUUGCCGCCUCUGUCACCAGCCACAUAGACCAUAGGAUUCUCAUUCCAUUUCAUGUCUCCUAAGUUAGAUAGCCCAGUUCAGACCCAGAUGGCAGUGGC